AAACCAGCACCUCAAGUGGUCAGGAUGAUUAUUGGGCCUAAAGCAUCCGUAGCCUGCUCUGUAAGUUUUCGGUUAAAUCUGUAUGCUCAACAUACAGGCUGCCGGGAAUACUGCAGAGCUAGGGAGUGGGAGAGGUAGACGGUACUCGGGAGGAAGUGGUAAAAUGCUUUGAUCUCUCGAUGACCACCUGUGGCGAAGGCGGUCUACCAGAACACGUCCGACGGUGAGGGAUGAAAGCUGGGGGAGCAAACCGGAUUAGAAACCCCAGUAGUCC
Molecule: ribosomal RNA, 274 nt
Filed under: uncultured bacterium
Lineage: Bacteria
Description: partial 16S ribosomal RNA
Rfam family: Archaeal small subunit ribosomal RNA
Source: RNAcentral